GACGAACGCUGGCGGCGUGCUUAACACAUGCAAGUCGAACGGAAAGGCUCCAGCUUGCUGGAGUACUCGAGUGGCGAACGGGUGAGUAACACGUGGGCAAUCUGCCCUGCACUCUGGGAUAAGCCUGGGAAACUGGGUCUAAUACUGGAUAGGACCUUUCUCCUCAUGGGGUUUGGUGGAAAGUUUUUUCGGUGUGGGAUGGGCCCGCGGCCUAUCAGCUUGUUGGUGGGGUAAUGGCCUACCAAGGCGGCGACGGGUAGCCGGCCUGAGAGGGUGGACGGCCACAUUGGGACUGAGACACGGCCCAGACUCCUACGGGAGGCAGCAGUGGGGAAUAUUGCACAAUGGGCGGAAGCCUGAUGCAGCGACGCCGCGUGGGGGAUGACGGCCUUCGGGUUGUAAACUCCUUUCACCAUCGACGAAGGGUUUCUGACGGUAGAUGGAGAAGAAGCACCGGCUAACUACGUGCCAGCAGCCGCGGUAAUACGUAGGGUGCGAGCGUUGUCCGGAAUUACUGGGCGUAAAGAGCUCGUAGGUGGUUUGUCGCGUCGUCUGUGAAAUUCCGGGGCUUAACUCCGGGCGUGCAGGCGAUACGGGCAUAACUUGAGUACUGUAGGGGAGACUGGAAUUCCUGGUGUAGCGGUGAAAUGCGCAGAUAUCAGGAAGAACACCGGUGGCGAAGGCGGGUCUCUGGGCCGUUACUGACGCUGAGGAGCGAAAGCGUGGGGAGCGAACAGG
Molecule: ribosomal RNA, 738 nt
Filed under: uncultured Corynebacterium sp.
Lineage: Bacteria; Bacillati; Actinomycetota; Actinomycetes; Mycobacteriales; Corynebacteriaceae
Description: bacterial SSU rRNA
Rfam family: Bacterial small subunit ribosomal RNA
Source: RNAcentral